UUGAUAUUUAGUUUUACCUUUGUGGUAUUUUUGAAAAUAAAUAGUAUACCUUAGUGGUAAUUUAGAAGGAAAAAAACCAUUAAUGGUAUUUUUGGAGGAAAAAAAAAACUCAUUUGAGUGGUACUUAUGAAAAUUGUCCAAAAUUAUAUCGAUGUUUAAACUAAACCCUUUUUUGCAAAUUCUGAUUAAAGUGGUUGACCAUGAUUUUUCUUAUUUGAUUCAUCAAAAUUACAACUAAAAAGUACAAUUAUAAUAAACCUCAAAUCUGGUGAUGUGUAGGAAAUACUCUUAUAAAUUGUAUUUAUUCAAUAUUAACUAACAAAAUGUGUUCACUGGCUUAAAUAAUCAUCUUAGAACAAUAGAGAACCUUCAAGACUUUCCACAUAAAUCAUCAUCACAUAAACCAAAAAAACAAAAGAGGAAAAAAAACCCAAAAAAAUAUCCCAGAAAAAAAAAGAAAGACCUUAAAACGACGAGUUUCACCGAUCCAAUCUUUUGAUUGCAAUUUUUUCACAUAACAAACAUCUCUUUCUUUUCCCCUUGCUCACUCCAAGUCUCUCAAAUUUUUCACAAUCAAUCAUUUCUUUGUUGCGAACCAAAAAGCUCGUGUGAUUCUCCAAUCUUCUUCUUCUCUCUUAUGGCGACACCGAAUCAGGAAUCAAUCGACACUUUCAUCAGCAGCACCGGCGCUUCAGAGGCCGUCGCUCUUCAGAAACUCGAGGUGAUCUCGAUUCCUGUUAUCCUUUUCUCCUUCUUCGUGAGUCUCUAUGAUUGGAGAUGGGGAAAGUGAGUCGACCUUAAACGAUCUUGGAUUGACCAGCAAACAAGAAGCAUUAUUCCUUGAGCUUAUCUGACUUCUGAUUUAUAAAAUGAAGACUGUACUUGACAGUUUGGGAAUUAGAUGGGUAAUACAACUCCCCACAAAUUCGUGUUAAAUGUUGAUUCCCUACGAAGGUUUUGUACUCUGGAGAGUCAAACCAACUGUUCAAGUUCUGGUGUUUUUUUUUUUUACGAAUCAAGAAGCUUUGUUACAGUCUCACAAAGCAAAAAAAAACGAAAAGUUUAUUGACAUGGCUAUGGUCAGCAAUUAAAAACGGAUUGAACCAGAUAAAUGAAGCAAAGAAGAGAUGGAAAGAAGCCCAAAAUUGAGCAUUAUAUAGAAAACCUUCAAUCCAAUUGAAAGCAGAAUGAAUUAAAAUCUAUUAUGUUCAUUCAUCAAACAGUGAUACUGACAGCAUUAAACUCAUAUAUAAAACAUGACUUGGGCAGUGUAAGCA
Molecule: long non-coding RNA, 1277 nt
Organism: Arabidopsis lyrata subsp. lyrata
Lineage: Eukaryota; Viridiplantae; Streptophyta; Magnoliopsida; Brassicales; Brassicaceae
Exons: 2
Source: RefSeq, a predicted model, not a curated record